This 579-nucleotide ribosomal RNA is filed under the name Trichoderma atroviride. Its description in RNAcentral is "eukaryotic LSU rRNA". The stretch from base 197 to 350 matches the Rfam family "5.8S ribosomal RNA". The record is from RNAcentral. Lineage: Eukaryota; Fungi; Ascomycota; Sordariomycetes; Hypocreales; Hypocreaceae.
CGGGAUCAUUACCGAGUUUACAACUCCCAAACCCAAUGUGAACCAUACCAAACUGUUGCCUCGGCGGGGUCACGCCCCGGGUGCGUCGCAGCCCCGGAACCAGGCGCCCGCCGGAGGGACCAACCAAACUCUUUUCUGUAGUCCCCUCGCGGACGUUAUUUCUUACAGCUCUGAGCAAAAAUUCAAAAUGAAUCAAAACUUUCAACAACGGAUCUCUUGGUUCUGGCAUCGAUGAAGAACGCAGCGAAAUGCGAUAAGUAAUGUGAAUUGCAGAAUUCAGUGAAUCAUCGAAUCUUUGAACGCACAUUGCGCCCGCCAGUAUUCUGGCGGGCAUGCCUGUCCGAGCGUCAUUUCAACCCUCGAACCCCUCCGGGGGGUCGGCGUUGGGGACCUCGGGAGCCCCUAAGACGGGAUCCCGGCCCCGAAAUACAGUGGCGGUCUCGCCGCAGCCUCUCCUGCGCAGUAGUUUGCACAACUCGCACCGGGAGCGCGGCGCGUCCACGUCCGUAAAACACCCAACUUCUGAAAUGUUGACCUCGGAUCAGGUAGGAAUACCCGCUGAACUUAAGCAUAUCAAAA